UUUCACUCAUCCAAGCAAUUAAAUCAACAACAACUCAAAUCAUGCAGUUAUCACAACAAAUACCAAAUCAUGUGAAAAAUGAGAAUCAAGAGGUCUUUCAAAGGUUGUAAUGUGGCUUAGGUUACAAGAAAGGAUAUGAUUAAGAGAAUUCAACAAAGUUGCCUAUCCUAAGGGAGCAAUCCCAAACAUUCAACUCUACAUGAUUUCCCUUUCUUUGAUCCCUAUCUUUUUCUUUUUCUUUUUCUUUUCAAAUCCACACAACCAUGAGCAUUU
RNAcentral lists this long non-coding RNA (273 nucleotides) under Lathyrus oleraceus (garden pea). RNAcentral's name for it is "Pisum sativum (pea) long non-coding RNA (PSAT_LNC021624)". The record is from RNAcentral. Lineage: Eukaryota; Viridiplantae; Streptophyta; Magnoliopsida; Fabales; Fabaceae.